RNAcentral lists this transfer RNA (94 nucleotides) under Streptomyces galbus. Its description in RNAcentral is "tRNA-Pro". Lineage: Bacteria; Bacillati; Actinomycetota; Actinomycetes; Kitasatosporales; Streptomycetaceae. The record is from RNAcentral.
GUCGCUCAAGGCGGCGCUGGCCGCGUGGGUGGCCUGGGCGGUCGCGGGCUGGUGGCUGCAGGCGCCGGUGGCGUUCGUGGCGCCGUGGGUGGCG